AAAUUAAAAACAUGCAUUGAAAAAAAUAGUACAGUUUGGAGUGUGUUGAAUUUAAGCUACUUUAAGGAACAAUCAGAUGAAGGCUGGGAGGAUCCUCCUCCUUCAUUGCCUCUGUCUCCUCUUCGGGUCCCAGGAUUCACACUCACCUGCUGGCCUGUCUCCCUAGCACCAGGACCGGAGGACAGUGCUGGGAGGAGAAUUCCAAGUGGAUCCAGACAAGUGAGGAGUGAGAGUGAAUCCAGGGGGCACUGUCCAGAGACCUGGGAUAUGCAUGGGGUUACAGGCUCACAGUUGGGCAGAUGGUUUGCUGUUCUUCUGACCACACUAUUGCCUCUGUAUGUCUACUCAGCCAUUUGCAUCUCCCCCAAGUUACAGCCCACCCAGAAUUGGAAGUCAUCUUAGGGACACUCAGGUACCUGUGUCCUGCUGUCUGACCCUACUCCCCACCCAGUCCCCAGAUGGGGAACACAAAAAUUAUGU
Molecule: long non-coding RNA, 480 nt
Filed under: Vulpes vulpes (red fox)
Lineage: Eukaryota; Metazoa; Chordata; Mammalia; Carnivora; Canidae
Description: lncRNA (ENSVVUG00000021241.1)
Source: RNAcentral